CUUUUGGAAUCACCUAGGAGACUCACCUCCAGGUGAAUCUGUGAGGAUGUUUUUAGAGAGAUUUAAGUGAGCAGGAAAGUCUCCCUGGAGGUCAGAGCUACUGAGGCAAUGUUCAGUGAGACUUAGUAAGAAGACAAUGAGACAGCCAAGAUCUCCUGAUGUGAAAAGCGAUACAUCACUUAAUUUCCAGAGACCACUACAGCACUUCCUCUGGGUUGGUGGCCAGCCCAACUGUCAUCAGAGAAGCUUCACCCAGCAACUGAUGAAAAUAGACACAGAGACUUACAGCCAAGCCUUGGUCAGAACUUGGGGAAUCCUGCAGAGGAAGUGGAGGAAAGAUUGUAGGAGCCAGUGGAAUCAAGGGCAUCAAAAGAAAACUCAUAGAAUAAAUUAACCUGGGCUCAUAGGGGCUCACAGAGACUGAACUGACAACCAGGGAGCCUGAAUGAGACUGACCUAGGCCCUCCAUAUAUAUGUGACAACUGUGUAGUUUGGUCUUCCUGUGAGACUCCUAACAGUGAGAGGAGGGGCUGUCUCUGAUUCUGUUGCCUGCUUUGGGGACCCCUUCCCACUACAGGACUGCCUCAUGUGGCUUUAAUAGAAGAGGAGGUACCUGUUCUCACUGCAACUUGAUAUGCCAUGUCUGGUUAAUAUCCAUGGGAAGCCUGCCUAUAUUUGAGGAGAAACA
Molecule: long non-coding RNA, 688 nt
Organism: Peromyscus eremicus (cactus mouse)
Lineage: Eukaryota; Metazoa; Chordata; Mammalia; Rodentia; Cricetidae
Exons: 3
Source: RefSeq, a predicted model, not a curated record